RNAcentral lists this ribosomal RNA (460 nucleotides) under uncultured bacterium. RNAcentral's name for it is "partial 16S ribosomal RNA". It matches the Rfam family "Bacterial small subunit ribosomal RNA", at positions 338 to 795 of the family's 1533-position model. The record is from RNAcentral.
CCUACGGGUGGCAGCAGUGAGGAAUAUUGGUCAAUGGGCGCGAGCCUGAACCAGCCAAGUCGCGUGAAGGAUGACUGCCCUACGGGUUGUAAACUUCUUUUAUAAAGGAAUAAAGUGUGGCACGUGUGCCUUUUUGUAUGUACCUUAUGAAUAAGCAUCGGCUAACUCCGUGCCAGCAGCCGCGGUAAUACGGAGGAUCCGAGCGUUAUCCGGAUUUAUUGGGUUUAAAGGGGGCGUAGACGGGUUGUUAAGUCAAUUGUGAAAGUUUGGGGCUCAACCGUAAAAUUGCAAUUGAUACUGGAAGACUUGAGUUCAGUUGAGGUAGGCGGAAUACGUGGUGUAGCGGUGAAAUGCUUAGAUAUCACGUAGAACUCCGAUAGCGAAGGCAGCUUACUAGACUGCCACUGACGUUGAUGCACGAGAGUGUGGGUAUCGAACAGGAUUAGAUACCCUAGUAGUC